CUCUGAUUUUUGCACUGUAAUUUUUAAAAAUGUAUAGUGUACAACAUGAUGACCACAAGUAGCACUGCUGUAUGAUACAUAGGAAAGCUGGUAAGAGAGUAAACCCUGUGCAUUCUCAUCAUGAGGAGAAAUUGUUUUCCUUUCUUCUGUAUUUUCUUUUUAUUGUAUCUGAAUGAGAAGAGAGAUAGAAGCUGAACCUCUGGAAAAAUGUGGAGUUCCUGUCCUGGCACAGUGGAAACGAAUCUGACUAGGAACCAUGAGGUUGUGGGUUCGAUCCCUGGCCUUGUUCAGUGGGUUAAGGAUCUGGCGUUGCCAUGAGCUGUGGUGUAGGAUCCCACAUUGCUAUGGCUAUGGCUGUGGCUGUGGCUAGCAGCUGUAGCUCCGAUUAGACCCCUAGCCUGGUAACCUCAUAUGCAAUCAAUGAGGCCCUAAAAAGACAAAAGACAAAACAACAACAACAACAACAACAAAAAACUCUUGCCUGCUGCUGACUGGAUGCAAUGACUUGGUGCCAAGAGCCAGCAGGAGACAGGUGCCUCUAUGCCACCAAAUCCUGGCUUGGCCUUUGUCACUAACAGGCAGUCUUCAGUAGAGGCUGAGCACUGAGCAGACAGCAGAGCCUCUGACCCGUGUAGGUCCUUUUCCCUGGAGAGGACCCCAGAAGCCUUGGGGUCAGCAGAACAUCCAUGGAGCAGGUCUUCCAAAGCUGCCAGCCCCAGAGUGUGCAUGAUGCAAGGGUAAGAAGCGGUUAGACAACAAACAAAAGGUAGGCUAGAUGGUACCAAGUACAGGUUAAUAUAUUGUAGUUUCCUACGGCUAGGAAGUCAUUUUUACACAAAGAGCGUUUCCUCCCGGGUCAAACAACACUCUUUCAAAAUGGCAAAACCUAAAAUGAGAAGGAAUAACAAUAGGAAUCACCAUCUCCUCUGAGCUAUGGUUUUCUAUGUGCAGCUGCCCAGAGCGAGUAGCUUGUAAAAAUCAACCACUGUGACGGUUCAUGCAUAGGCUCUGCUGAUUUUACAAGGAUAUAAUGAUGCAGCCGCCUCUCCAAGGGCAGGCUCCAGCCUGACAUUUGCACAGCCAGCAGAAAUAAUUUCUUGCAGGAGAUAGAAUUUCGUUGUUUAGCAGAGGUGCAUCAAAGGAAGUUGCAUCCUCAGACACACACGCUGCCUCCCAGCCCCUCACUCCCCUUGACUGCUUCCCUUUAAAUUAAUAGACAGCCAGCAAGUAAUCAAUUCCUUUUAUAUAGGAUGACAUAGGAGAUUCUAUAGGUCUCCCUGGUAGGAAUAUUUAUCAUGUGAGGCAGACAUGGGGUUUUAAAAAAUGUAUUAUUUUUUUUCUGAAUUAUCAAAGUAAAUUGUAUUUAACACAGAGAUGUUGAAAAAAUUAAAAAAUUUGAGGAGUUCCCAUUGUGGCUCAUGGGAUAAUAACCUGACGCAGUUUCCUUGAGGAUGUGGGUUUCAAACUCUGGCCUCGCUUAGUGAGCUAAGGGACCAGCGUUGCCACAAGCUGCAGGGUAGGUCUUAGAUGCCUCUUGGAUCCAGCAUGGCUGUGGCUGUGGUGUAGGCAGGCAGCUGUAGCUCCGAUUCGACCCCUAGCCUGGGAACUUCCAUAUGUGCAAGUGUAGCCACAAAAAGAAAAAAAAAAGAAAAAGUAAAAUUUGAAAAAGUACAAAAGAGUUCCCAUCAUGGCUCAGUGGAAAUGAAUCUGAUUAGCAUCCAUGAGAAUGAGGUUCAAUCCUUGGCCUUGCUCAGGGGUUAAGGAUCCAGUGUUUUCAUAAGCUGUGGUGUAGGUCGCAGAUGCAGCUUGGAUCAGGCAUUGCUGUGGCUGUGGUGUAGGCUGGCAGUUGUAGCUCUAAUUUGACCCCUAGCCUGGGAAACUCCAUGUGCCUCAGGUGCGGCC
RNAcentral lists this long non-coding RNA (1902 nucleotides) under Sus scrofa (pig). Its description in RNAcentral is "lncRNA (ENSSSCG00000060077.1)". Lineage: Eukaryota; Metazoa; Chordata; Mammalia; Artiodactyla; Suidae. The record is from RNAcentral.